RNAcentral lists this long non-coding RNA (333 nucleotides) under Panax ginseng (ginseng). RNAcentral's name for it is "long non-coding RNA (PGIN_LNC007360)". The record is from RNAcentral. Lineage: Eukaryota; Viridiplantae; Streptophyta; Magnoliopsida; Apiales; Araliaceae.
AUGAUUUUUUGGGUGUUUUCAGAUUGGAUUUUGGUUGUUGAAGAUUACGACAAUAAUGGUGGUUCAGGCAGGGAAUAGCGGCAGGAUUGGAGAAUUUGGGAUUGAGGUUUGCGGCAACAGUAGUGGUGGUUUAGUAAUGGGGAUGAGGUUUAUCGGGUAGGUGGGAUUAAAGAAUUGAGGGAAAAUGUGAGAAAGAUGGGAAGGGUUUAAGCUUAUUUUGUGGGGAUUGCUUGAAUUUCUUUGGAGUUUCAACCGUGGAUGAUGUCGUCGAGUUCAUAGACGAGGUAACCGUCAGGAAGAGAAAUAAAAAAAAGAAAAGACGUCGGGUAGAGA